AGAGUGAUUAUAGAUUGAUAUCUUUUUGGUUUCAAUUAACUAAGAAUGGAAGCCAGAACUCUAUCAAUCUUUGCCACUCUAUUGAUCAUAUUAGCUGAUGCAAGUGCCAUACUCGAGGUUGAUAGCUUGAUGGAUCAAGGAAACAUGGCCUAUAACAUGAAUGGCAAAUCAAACCCUUGCAGCUCAUGCUUGGAGGCUUCAAGACAUGCUCAGAAAUCUCUGGAUGACCUAAUCUUGUUCAGUGACAUCAGAUCACUCUCAUCUGAAGCUUGCCAUAUUUUGCCUUCUCAACUUAAGAAUCAGUGUUUGGACAAGUCACAAGCAUAUAUAGAUCAGGCUCAGUUCUUUCUCCAACACCUCUUCCAUGAAGGUAGUCUUUGCAACAACACAGGAUUAUGCCUUGAUGAAUCCUUUUACCCAGAUGACAAUAUUCUUACUUCACUGAUCAAUGAAUCUACCGAGACUGGGGAGACCACCUGCUAUGAAUGCAGUAGAGCCAUCAGGAACAUCAUCGAAGGCACACAAUCGAGUAAAGUGAGGAAAAAGAUGAGGCAAUUGCUGGUUGAGCAGUGCGAAGAACAUCAUAGGCAGAGUGAAAAGCAGUGCAAGGUAACAGUGGCCAAAUAUGGUUCAAGGAUGAUGUCAAAGCUUGCGGAGAUGGAAGCCAAUGAUUUGUGCCACAUGAUGAGUCUCUGUUGAGGGGAUCUCUUUGCAGAGAAGCUUGAACUAGCUUAAGAACAAGCACAAGCACUUCCUUGGAUACUUUCAGAAUAACUGCAGGAAUCAGAUACUCCUUGCAGGAUUUGAAUAAAAUGCAUUCUACUAUUUUGAAUGAUGUGAUCAUGCACACUGUUUUUGGGGCAUUUGAGGAUUGUCUCAUAUUGAAUAAAUUUCCUCUUUGGAAAUAAUGAAUUAAUUAACUUACCAUUCA
Non-coding RNA from Musa acuminata subsp. malaccensis (wild Malaysian banana), 931 nucleotides. Lineage: Eukaryota; Viridiplantae; Streptophyta; Magnoliopsida; Zingiberales; Musaceae. The record is from RefSeq and is a predicted model, not a curated record.